RNAcentral lists this ribosomal RNA (662 nucleotides) under uncultured bacterium. Its description in RNAcentral is "bacterial SSU rRNA". It matches the Rfam family "Bacterial small subunit ribosomal RNA", at positions 183 to 832 of the family's 1533-position model. The record is from RNAcentral.
AUUCCGCAUGGAAGAAAGUUGAAAGGCGCUUUUGCGUCCCUGAUGGAUGGACCCGCGGUGCAUUAGCUAGUUGGUGAGGUAACGGCUCACCAAGGCCACGAUGCAUAGCCGACCUGAGAGGGUGAUCGGCCACACUGGGACUGAGACACGGCCCAGACUCCUACGGGAGGCAGCAGUAGGGAAUCUUCGGCAAUGGACGAAAGUCUGACCGAGCAACGCCGCGUGAGUGAAGAAGGUUUUCGGAUCGUAAAACUCUGUUGUUAGAGAAGAACAAGGAUGAGAGUAGAACGUUCAUCCCUUGACGGUAUCUAACCAGAAAGCCACGGCUAACUACGUGCCAGCAGCCGCGGUAAUACGUAGGUGGCAAGCGUUGUCCGGAUUUAUUGGGCGUAAAGCGAGCGCAGGCGGUUUCUUAAGUCUGAUGUGAAAGCCCCCGGCUCAACCGGGGAGGGUCAUUGGAAACUGGGAGACUUGAGUGCAGAAGAGGAGAGUGGAAUUCCAUGUGUAGCGGUGAAAUGCGUAGAUAUAUGGAAGAACACCAGUGGCGAAAGCGGCUCUCUGGUCUGUAACUGACGCUGAGGUUCGAAAGCGUGGGUAGCAAACAGGAUUAGAUACCCUGGUAGUCCACGCCGUAAACGAUGAGUGCUAAGUGUUGGAGGGUU